RNAcentral lists this ribosomal RNA (212 nucleotides) under uncultured bacterium. Its description in RNAcentral is "partial 16S ribosomal RNA". It matches the Rfam family "Bacterial small subunit ribosomal RNA", at positions 328 to 545 of the family's 1533-position model. The record is from RNAcentral.
ACGCUCGACACCUACGGGGAGGCAGCAGGUGGGGAAUAUUGCACAAGUGGGGGAAACCCUGAUGCAGCGACGCCGCGUGAGUGAAGAUAUCUUNUAGUAAGCUCUUAGUACAGCGAGGGAAACGAAAGUGGACGGUCCNGAGUAAGACGCCCCGGCUAACUACGUGCCNGACAGCCGGUAGGUAAUCUGGACGGCCGGGCGUGGACGAAGGC